This is a non-coding RNA of Salmo salar (Atlantic salmon), 3342 nucleotides long. The record is from RefSeq and is a predicted model, not a curated record. NCBI's taxonomy places the organism in Eukaryota, Metazoa, Chordata, Actinopteri, Salmoniformes, Salmonidae.
GUUUAGCUUGGGGUUGGUGGUUGUAGACUGCAUUCUGAACUCAGGAGGAAGGAUUCUUCGUGUUUAUUCAACAAAGUAAAUGCCAGCUAGCGUGAACAACGACUGGCUAAAUUCACAUUUAGUCAAGAUUGGAAAGUAGAUACAUUUGGUAGGUUGCGCCCUUUCAAAUUGGUAACAUAAUAUCCGGGUACAUAAUAGUCUUCGUCUGGCUGAACCUUUGUGGAGCAAGGUGCUUGUAAAUAGCUAGCUAAUACUAGCUAACGUUAGGUUGCUACAGUACCUAGCUAAAAGGAUUCAACAUAACAACUGGUAGCUAGCCGGCUAGCCAGAAAGCCAGUGGAAUCACAGCAGCACCGCGGGGAGCCGAGGCCCGAAAGGGAGCCUUCCAGGACCGCGGCUUGAUGUACCCUGCCUGCCUCGCCCCAGCAGCCCACAAUGGGGGAGACCAAAGUCAUAUAUCACCUCGACGACCAGGAAACACCUUACCUGGUCAAAUUGGCAGUGCCCGCCGACAGGGUCACACUUGCAGACUUCAAAAAUGUUCUGAAGAAACCUAACUACAAGUUCUUCUUCAAAUCUAUGGAUGACGAUUUUGGGGUGGUGAAAGAAGAGAUAUCUGAUGACAAUGCCAAACUCCCUUGUUUUAAUGGUCGUGUGGUAUCUUGGCUGGUGUCAGGGGAUGGUGCUCACUCAGACGGGGGCUCGGUGGUUGAGAGUUUGUUGGAGCUGCCGCCACCCCCCCUGGAGAGGACUGGGGGCAUCGGGGGCUCCAGACCACCAUCCUACCAUGGGAAGGCCAUAGGUGGACGAGACUCAUUGGACAACGAGACUGAGACGGGCUCGAUGGUGUCCCAGAGGAGAGAGAGGGAGCGACCGCGUCGGAAACCCACUCAACAGCCUGGUGGGAGGAACGGUUACUCGCGAGUGGGCCGAGGGGCGGAGCUGAGCCAAUACGACAGCUGCUCGUCCUUCAUGAGCAGUGAGCUGGAGUCCACCAGCUGUUUCGACUCUGAGGACGACGACGCCACCAGCCGCUUCAGCAGUUCCACAGAGCAGAGCUCCUCACGCCUGAUGAGGCGACACCGCCGGCGCCGGCGGAAACCCAAAACGUCCAACAUGGAAAGGUCUUCAUCCUUCAGCAGCAUCACAGACUCCACCAUGUCUCUGAACAUAAUCACUGUCACACUGAACAUGGAGAAGUAUAACUUCCUGGGCAUCAGCAUCGUGGGGCAAAGCAAUGAGAGGGGAGACGGAGGCAUCUACAUCGGCUCCAUCAUGAAGGGUGGGGCUGUGGCUGCAGACGGACGCAUUGAGCCCGGAGACAUGCUGCUGCAGGUGAACGACAUCAACUUUGAGAACAUGAACAACGACGAUGCGGUUCGAGUGCUGAGGGACAUCGUACACAAGCCAGGGCCCAUCACUCUGACUGUGGCUAAGUGCUGGGACCCCAACCCCCGUAGCUGCUUUGCUCUGCCUAGAAGUGAGCCGAUCCGGCCCAUUGACCCUGCUGCGUGGGUGUCCCACACUGCAGCGAUGACGGGGGUGUACCCUGCCUAUGGCAUGAGCCCCUCGAUGACCACGGUCACCUCCACCAGCUCCUCCAUCAGCAGCUCCAUCCCUGAGACUGAACGCUUCGACGAUUUCCACUUGUCCAUCCACAGCGACAUGGCAACCGUUGCCAAGGCCAUGGCUUCCCCGGAGUCAGGCCUGGAGGUGCGAGACAGGAUGUGGCUAAAGAUCACCAUCGCCAAUGCCUUUAUAGGCUCAGACGUGGUGGACUGGCUCUUCCAUCACGUGGAGGGCUUCUCAGACCGCAGGGAAGCCAGGAAGUACGCCAGUAACCUGCUCAAGGCCGGCUACAUCCGCCACACCGUCAACAAGAUCACCUUCUCCGAGCAGUGUUACUACAUCUUCGGAGACCUCUGUGGCAACAUGACCCACCUGUCUCUGCAAGACCACGACGGCUCCAGCGGAGGGGCGUCGGACCAGGACACCCUGCCCCCUCUGCCCCACCCUGGGGCGGCCCCCUGGCCCAUGGCCCUACCCUACCAGUUCCCCAUCGCCCACCCCUACAACCCCCAGCCCCAACACGACCUGCCCCAGGGCUUCCCAGGAGUAGGGGCGGGCAGCGCUGGCAGCCAGCACAGCGACGGCAGCAGCGGCUCCAACUGCAGUAAGACCGAGGGCAGAGGAGGCGGCGCUGGGGGCUCCAACAAGUCGGGUGGUAGUGGCAGUGAGUCAGAGAUCAGGAGCCAUCGGGCCCCCAGUGAGCGCUCUGUGGCCCCUAGCGAGCGCAGCACCCGCAGUUCCUACAGCCAUCGAAGCGUCCACUCACUGUCCUACGGCCCCGGCUUGGUCUAUGCCCCCCCAGGCCUACCCCUCAGCCCCUCCACCUGGCCACAGCUGCCCCCGGAGCACCCCCAGGCCGAGAGCUGGCCAACGCUCCCCCAGAGCUCACCGGCUCCCGCCAGUCCCUGCGCAUAGCUGUGGGCAACCCUGGCGAGUUCUUUGUCGAUGUCAUGUGACGCAGGUCAUGUCAUAGGCACACCACAAAAUGGUGGAUAGGAAUUGUUUUGUUUAGUGGUGAGAGGGACAGACAGGAGGAGGAGGUCUCUAGAAAAUCAUUGUUGGGGUCAAUUCCAUUUCCUUUUUGAAUUGGCAGAAUUAAAAUGUAAUUGAGCCCAACCCUGCUGGAAAUGUCCUCUCUUGCUCUUCUGCUCUACUUUCUUCAGUGAAGAAACCCCCCAUCAGUUUCCUCCCUGUGAGGCGAGUUGUGUUUGGGUCGUGACCGGGAGGGAGGCCGGGGAAACAGCUGAGGAUGACUCAGCGCUUUUCUACAUGGAUGUUUUUAAUUUGUUAUUUUCUGUCUUUCCUCUCCUUAUCUGCACGUCCUCUGUCCUCCCCAACCCCAGUCCAUCAGAGACAAAGGUUAAAAAAGAUUCCUCCCUCCCGCCAUACUUUCUUUCACCUAAAAUGGUCCCUUAACAACCGAUUUAUGUUUGCAAAGUGAAAGAAAUAGAAAAUUAACACUAAUCUUAAAUUGACUUUUGUUUGUAUGACUUUGUUUGACUAUGAAAAUGUAGUGCAAGAGACUUGAUGCCCUUUCUGUUCUCUUGUGUUUAUCAUAGCUGGUUGCUGAUACAUGUAGUUUCUUUUUCAACACUUAACAUGAGCUUCCAGUUUAGGCUCAUUGGUUAAAGUACAUUUGUCUGUUAACCAGAGGUAUAUUUGUGUCUCUGUCUUGCGAUAAUGGUGGAGAGAAAAAAGGUUUUCUUACCAACUCUCACUACUCUUUUAUUGAGAAAUGUGUUUUUAUUUAUAAAUAUAGUUUUAUGACUUUAA